Non-coding RNA from Arachis ipaensis, 145 nucleotides. NCBI's taxonomy places the organism in Eukaryota, Viridiplantae, Streptophyta, Magnoliopsida, Fabales, Fabaceae. The record is from RefSeq and is a predicted model, not a curated record.
UUGUUAUCUAUUGGAAGAAAGUUAGAGCGUCAAGUAGUUCUAGUGUUGUUCCACUAGCAUCGUCGUCGUCGUCGCCACCCUCAAUCUCUUCGGAUGAGGACUAUGAUGAUAAUGAGGAUGAAUAUGACACUGAGGACUAUAGUUA